Molecule: small RNA, 399 nt
Filed under: Histoplasma capsulatum var. duboisii H88
Lineage: Eukaryota; Fungi; Ascomycota; Eurotiomycetes; Onygenales; Ajellomycetaceae
Description: Histoplasma capsulatum H88 hypothetical RNA
Source: RNAcentral
ACCCUCGUUAGUGCAGCCCGCAUCCAAGCUGGCCGGGGUGAUUGUUAGCAGCAAGUGGCGUCGCAGCGCUAUUGAAGCGUCCGCCAUUAUUCGGCGUUGGAUAUGGUGGAGCUCCACAUUUCUGAUUAUUCGUUACUUGGCAGAGGAUUCUCUUCUUUCUUUCUUCGAUUCUGCAUGAAAUGGCUUUUUUUAUAUUUUUUAUUUUUUUUGGCUGUGAAGUUUAACUGCCGUUUUUAUGUCUUGGACGGACUGGAGGCUAGGUAUCUCAUUGAACCCAACAGAGCUGUUGGAGCUCUGGCAUUUAACAAUCUUUCUUCCUCUUCGAGUGCUCGCUCCUUUUCCUUUACAAUUCUGAAAUUCCGUGGUGGCCCCGCAGGAUACAGGGCCCAUAUUACUGCG